UACAGAGGUCCCAAGCGUUGUUCGGAUUCACUGGGCGUAAAGGGUGCGUAGGUGGCCAGGUAAGUUUGGUGUGAAAGCUCGGAGCUUAACUCCGAAAAGUCAUUGAAUACUAUCUGGCUGGAGGGUCGGAGGGGAGACUGGAAUUCUCGGUGUAGCAGUGAAAUGCGUAGAUAUCGAGAGGAACACCAGAGGCGAAGGCGGUUUCCUGGACAGUUACUGACGCUCAGGCACGAAAGCAUGGGGAGCAAAAGGG
This 253-nucleotide ribosomal RNA is filed under the name uncultured bacterium. RNAcentral describes it as "partial 16S ribosomal RNA". It matches the Rfam family "Bacterial small subunit ribosomal RNA", at positions 524 to 776 of the family's 1533-position model. The record is from RNAcentral.